Molecule: transfer RNA, 76 nt
Filed under: Solemya velum gill symbiont
Lineage: Bacteria; Pseudomonadati; Pseudomonadota; Gammaproteobacteria
Description: tRNA-Thr
Rfam family: tRNA
About the family: Transfer RNA (tRNA) molecules are approximately 80 nucleotides in length.
Source: RNAcentral
GCCCAGAUAGCUCAGUUGGUAGAGCGCACCCUUGGUAAGGGUGAGGUCGGCGGUUCAAAUCCGCUUCUGGGCUCCA